UCACAGCAUCCUCCCAGCGCUGAAGAAACCACACCAUGUCCUGCCCCUGGGCUAGGAUCCUGCUCCUCGCCCUGCAGGUGGCAGCUUCCCAAGAGGGGCUGUGGCUGCAGCAAAGCCCAGCAGAGAUCCGGACGACCCCGGGACAGGCUGCAGAGCUGAACUGCACUGUUCUGUUCCAACAACAGCGUGUAUCCUGGUAUAAAGAGCAUCAGGAUGGCAGUCUGCAAUGGGUUGCCCACAUUGGUAAUUUUGUAGAACCAAAAGGAAGAUACUCGAGUAAAGUGAGCAGCACGGGGAAAAUGUUCUCUCUAAUCAUCAACCAGCUACAGGAGGAGGAUUCUGGGCUCUAUUAUUGUGCCCUUGAUGUCUCAUUAUACACGAGCUUUGGGAACGGGACCAGGCUGAUCGUCUCCGGGCCCUGCUGGGUUGCACGUUGGGUGGGGCUGCCCUGUGUAUGCCUCCUCCUGCUGAUCCAGGGCCUGAUCCUGCUCUCCGCCAAGUGCCCCCCCACAGCAGGUAGAGUGGCAGCUCCAGGGAGUCACAUGCACCCGCACCAGAGCCCAGAGACAGAAUAUGCAGCUGUGAGCCAUGGCGGCAGAAAAGCUCCAGCAUGACUGAUGCGUUCACAUGUUCAUCCUUAAAAUAAAAGGUGUGGGGACACGCAUGUGCAAGAGGAAGAGACAUGUGAUGCCAAGCAGCUGUCCAGUGUGUGAGCAUG
Alligator sinensis (Chinese alligator) is the source of this 718-nucleotide non-coding RNA. The record is from the annotation of a RefSeq genome assembly. Lineage: Eukaryota; Metazoa; Chordata; Crocodylia; Alligatoridae.